CCUUGGUGUGAGUCCUGUUGACCUUGCACUUCACCCCAGAGACCUGGCAGCUGUGGUGCCUGGUCCGUUUUAGUGCCUGGUCCUGUGGCCAUAAAGCAGUGGGGGUUGAGCAGGCCCUGGACCCUCUGUGCUGUUUGGGAAGCACUGGGGAGGUUCAGGUCAUGCAGCAGAAGAGAGUCCACAAGUCUCUCAUGUCUGCACCUGAGAGCAGGCAGCUGUGGGCGAGUGCUGGGUUGUGUGGCAGGAUCUACUGCGCUCAUGCAGGGGUGCUGCUGGAUCAGAACACUGCCAGAGUGCCUGUGGCUUCAGAGGGGGCCCUGGAGUUGCUCCCCAUCCUUUCUCACAAGGCUGUGGCACAGUGGGUCCUCCUUGGCACAGCCCCCAGCCUGGCUGGGUAACUCCUAAAUGGUAAAGCUGGCCUAAUUAGUCUGUUUAAUCUUCUCCCAUAAAUCACUCCUCCCCAUCCCCUGCAGACUAUCGGCAGCAUCUGAAGUCAUUAGUUAAUUUAAACCUGGGAGUUCACACGUUGGCUUAUCAGAGCCAUCUCCUUUCCCCGCUAAGCGCUUGCUCGCUGCAUCCCCGGCUGCUGCUAGAUCCGAUCUGCGCCCGCUUUGAAGCCGUGAUGGGCUGCCAGCAGGCGAGGUGCUGCCUGUCUCCCUGCUGCUUCACUGCCUGCAUGCAGCAGUUUGACCGAAUGCUGGAAGGAGAAGGCGGCUCUGAUGCUGCUGCAGCUUCCCCGGCUGCCAGGGAAGUAAUAGAAUCUUAGAAUCAUCUGGGUUGGAAAAGAUCAUCUGUAAGAUCAUCGAGUCAGUACCUCCACAGGUCACAUCUUUCCUGCUGCCAGGUGACCUCCUGUGCCUGCUCCCUGUCCCUCGCAGCCCUGCUGCCCGGCGGUCACCUCGCUGAUCCAUGAGUGGAUACCCACGUCUGAUGAUUUUGCUCCAGGUGUACGAGCUGCACCCAUGAAAGGGUGGAUGGCUGGGCUUCCUUGGCAGGUCUGGAGAAAAAAUGCUGGGCAAACCUGGUCUCUGCCUGCUGGGUGACAGAGAUGACAGACACCUCACAGCGUGGCUCUGUGGCCAGGAGAGGGACAGACGGUGACUGGAAUGGAUAUGAGUGCCUUACCAGCUUUGUGUGCAGAAUGUCUCCAAGAAUGACAUCCAAGACUACCUGCCCAUGAGCAUCUCAGGGUCAAGGGUUGAUCCUGGUGUCAUGAUGCUGCAGUGACAGGAGACAGCAUCACCAUCAUCACCUACCCUGCACAUCAGAUCUUGGACAGUGCACUGUUCUGGAGUGGGAAGGUGCUGCCAUAUCCCCUCCCACCAAGAGAACAACUGCACUUGCCUGGGCCACCCCUUUCCUCCUAUUGCCUCCAGACUGGGGGACCUUGCUGAGUGCCACCUAACAUUUUUGGUUUGGAAUGACACGUGGACACGUUGGAGCUGCAGCUGCAAACGGGGAUGAUUCAGUGCUGCCCUUUGCAGAGUGAGGAGGAGACCACUUCAUGUUCAGCAACACAGUUACUCUGGCACUGGAUAAAAUGUCACCGAGCCGCCCUUGCAUGGGGACAGCAGGGUUAACACAGGGUCACACACGGGGCAGCAGCAGCCCUUGGUGGCGGCCAGCACACGCAGCUUCCUCCGUGGCACAGUGCCCGCGACGGUGAGACUGGCCCUGCUGGGCCACAUCCCUCAUCCUGCCAGGCAGGAAAGGCUCCGGCCCCACGCUCCUCCUCGCCUCUCCACAUCCCCUGCCCUCUGCCCCGCCACCGCUGUGGACAGCCCCGUGCUUGCCAGAUGACUUCCAGCCUCGCUGCUCUUCGGGCUGUCUGAGCAGCUCGUGAUCUUGGCAGGCAGCUCAGAGUCCUACCAGUCAUCAUUACUAUGAUUAUUUGUGUCUUCCCAGCUCAAAAGGGCUUUCCUCUUACCUCACCCCUGGCUGGCCUUGAGCCAGGUGGGAUUGUGGAUGGAGAAAGGGGAGAGGGCAGCAUCCUGCACUCAGAGCAGGGGUCUGCAGUGGGAUGCAGGAGAUGGGGCAGGGGGAAGGACAGAUCUUGUCCCUCCUCCUGAAUGCUCAGGAU
This is a non-coding RNA of Cyanistes caeruleus (blue tit), 2080 nucleotides long. The record is from RefSeq and is a predicted model, not a curated record. Lineage: Eukaryota; Metazoa; Chordata; Aves; Passeriformes; Paridae.